AUCCCGCACACCCCAACUUCAACCAGGCAGCUCUGCCCUUGUCUCCUUUAUAUAUUGGAAUUCUGAAUGAAACGUCACUGAAUUCUUGCUGCUUUAAAAAAAUAAGAGAGAGAAGAAACGUGUAUAAAUCCUGCCUACUGUCUCAUCUUACAGGUAAGUGGUACACCCAAAGCGACUUGCUAAGAGGCUUGUUCUCUUCUUCCCUGACUUCAGGGCCUCAGAGAAGACCAGAGCCUGCUGUUUCCAUCACCUGAAAGAAGACAAGGAAGCUGUCAGGAUUGUUAAAUCCCCCAAAGACACUCCGAGGGUGGCUGCCUGCCUGGCUUGGAGAGCCACACACACUGGCUUUUCCGUGCUGCCCACCUCAUGUGCCCCGUGCCAGGGCUCCGCUUUGGACCCGUCUAGAGUGGGGCCUGGGCAUUGGGCAGCAAGGUGAAACCACCGCCCACGGGAGGGGGCAUUUCGGGAAGCAGAGCUGGGUGAAGAGAUCGGCCCCACCACUGCCCGGGGAGCGCCUGGGUCCCAGCCCAGGAUGACCAGGGAGAAAGAUGAGAUCGGCCGCUGCACAAGCAGAUCUCCACCCAGCUGCGCCCCGCUGUGUGAUGACCGUCCCUGUGAAAGUCCAUUGUAAGACACAGACAGCAGGGCAGCUCCCCGCUGUGGGGAUGGAGAGGGUACCGGCCCUAUGAUCUCCCUGACUUCUCUUAUCUCAACUGACUGCCCAGUUAUAAAGGCAGACCCUUCAUUAUUCCCCAAACCCGAGCUGGCCCAAGACCAAGCGUCCCCAGACCCAGGCCUUGGGUCCCCACCUGGGCGGGUUGGAGGUUCCGGUCCACCCCCCCACCCCCACCCCAGCCUCUGAGAAGUUCUGAAAUAAUGAAAGGAGUGAAGGUGGUGGGGGAGGUGCCCAAAAUAAAGGCCUCUGAGGAUGA
Hippopotamus amphibius kiboko is the source of this 932-nucleotide long non-coding RNA. RefSeq lists it as uncharacterized. The record is from RefSeq and is a predicted model, not a curated record. Lineage: Eukaryota; Metazoa; Chordata; Mammalia; Artiodactyla; Hippopotamidae. The transcript is spliced from 3 exons.